UGAGGAAUAUUGGUCAAUGGGCGCGAGCCUGAACCAGCCAAGUCGCGUGAGGGAUGACGGCCCUACGGGUUGUAAACCUCUUUUGUUCGGGGGAGGCAAAUUCCGCCACGUGUGGCGGAGUCGAGAGUACCCGAAGAAAAAGCAUCGGCUAACUCCGUGCC
This 161-nucleotide ribosomal RNA is filed under the name uncultured bacterium. RNAcentral's name for it is "partial 16S ribosomal RNA". It matches the Rfam family "Bacterial small subunit ribosomal RNA", at positions 355 to 509 of the family's 1533-position model. The record is from RNAcentral.